UACGGGGGGGGUAAGCGUUGUUCGGAAUUACUGGGCGUAAAGGGCUCGUAGGCGGCCAACUAAGUCGGACGUGAAAUCCCUCAGCUUAACUGGGGAACUGCGUCCGAUACUGGAUGGCUUGGAUUUGGGAGAGGGAUGCGGAAUUCCAGGUGUAGCGGUGAAAUGCGUAGAUAUCUGGAGGAACACCGGCGGCGAAGGCGGCAUCCUGGACCAAUAUUGACGCUGAGGAGCGAAAGCCAGGGGAGCAAACGGG
RNAcentral lists this ribosomal RNA (253 nucleotides) under uncultured bacterium. Its description in RNAcentral is "partial 16S ribosomal RNA". It matches the Rfam family "Bacterial small subunit ribosomal RNA", at positions 524 to 776 of the family's 1533-position model. The record is from RNAcentral.